CUUCCCCUAACCUUGUGGUUGAAGUAGAACGUCUGAGUUCAAAGCUUUGUUGUUGUGGGUUGAUUUGAGUUAUGGUUCAUUUCCGAACUUGCAAUUCCUGCGAUCUAAUAAGAGCAUUGAUGGUUUAGUCAGUGUCAAGUAUAUGAAGUAUGAACCAUACGAUAAUGAUUAUGAGGUUGAUGAUAAUAACUUUGAAAUAAAAUUUGAGCAAUAAGUUGGUUUCGCUGGAUUAUACGUGACUGCUAGUAACUAGAUGGAUGUAGCUGAUCAACUAACAAUGAAAUUCAUAUGGAAAAUUAACUUUAAUAAUCCUGGCCCAGAUAAUAAUUUCCAUAUUGUGUCUUAUUCAUAUACAGUAUAACCAAUAUGUGCAUCAAAUUAAUUCUAGCCAUCCACCAUAUCUAAAGCCUAAUUUAAUAGGUAAUUCCAAGAUUCAUCAAUAGUAACUGUGAAGUCAAUAAUUCCAAGAUUCAUCAAAAGUAACUCUUAAGUCAAUGAAUGCUUUCAAAUCAUGCAUCACUACACAGAAAGAUGUACUAGGGGAAAAGAAUGUACCUGUAAUAUGGACUAAACACCUUUUAACAGCAGCUGAUCAAGCUCAGUUUUUAGCUCCGUCAACUCAACCUAAUUUUCAUUUCUGCAUUGCAGCAACUGCCUCCUAGCUCGUUAAGUUUCUGAUUUUUUUUUUCUUGAGAUGGUAUUUUCUGCCAAAGAUUGACAUUCAUAUUAUCAUUAGAUCAUACUUUGAAGCAUAUACUUUGGCAAUCCAAUGGUUUAGGAGUGUUGAAUUUCAGAUAACUCAACAUCACAAACUAACAAGUGUAGAAAAGGAUCCAAAUCACAGUAAUCUUUGAACAUUCUAUUUGCAAGAAGUGUAGGAAAGUAUUAAACUUUCACAUUCCAAAAACUCUGAAUCAAGCCAAGAAAAUUCCUGAAGAUUUCUACUUCCAUGGUUCCAAAUUUUAAAAAAUCCACAUCCAGAACUAUAAAUUCGAUAAGAAAAAAAAGACGAUAAGCAAUAAUUAAGGUUUAUACAGAUUUUAACACUCACCAGUCGAAAUC
This 1062-nucleotide long non-coding RNA is filed under the name Arabidopsis lyrata. RNAcentral describes it as "long non-coding RNA (ALYR_LNC001156)". The record is from RNAcentral. Lineage: Eukaryota; Viridiplantae; Streptophyta; Magnoliopsida; Brassicales; Brassicaceae.